AGAGUUUGUAACACCCAAAGCCGGUGGCGUAACCUUUAGGGAGCGAGCCGUCUAAGGUGGGACAAAUGAUGAGGGUGAAGUCGUAACAAGGUAGCCGUAGGAGAACCUGCGGCUGGAUCACCUCCUUUCUAAGGAAACAGACUUUAAGUCUGACGGAAACCUGCACACACGAAACUUUGUUUAGUUUUGAGGGGACGACCCUCAAGCACCCUAGCGGGUGCGACUUUGUUCUUUGAAAACUGGAUAUCAUUGUUGUAAAUGUUUUAAAUUGCCGAGAACACAGCGUAUUUGUAUGAGUUUCUAAUUUAGAAAUUCGCAUCGCAUAACCGCUGACGCAAGUCAGUACAGGUUAAGUUACAAAGGGCGCACGGUGGAUGCCUUGGCACUAGGAGCCGAUGAAGGACGGAACUAAUACCGAUAUGCUUCGGGGAGCUAUAAGUAAGCUUUGAUCCGGAGAUUUCCGAAUGGGGGAACCCAGUACACAUCAGUGUAUUGCCUGUCAGUGAAUACAUAGCUUGUCGGCGGCAGACGCGGGGA
RNAcentral lists this unclassified non-coding RNA (537 nucleotides) under Lacticaseibacillus zeae. Its description in RNAcentral is "Lactobacillus zeae partial contains 16S ribosomal RNA, 16S-23S intergenic spacer, and 23S ribosomal RNA". The stretch from base 348 to 537 matches the Rfam family "Bacterial large subunit ribosomal RNA", at positions 1 to 191 of the family's 2925-position model. Lineage: Bacteria; Bacillati; Bacillota; Bacilli; Lactobacillales; Lactobacillaceae. The record is from RNAcentral.